CCUACGGGCGGCAGCAGUGAGGAAUAUUGGUCAAUGGGCGUAAGCCUGAACCAGCCAAGUCGCGUGAGGGAUGAAGGCCCUAUGGAUUGUAAACCUCUUUUAUACGGGAAUAAAGUGCGCGACGUGUCCCGUUUUGCAUGUACCGUAUGAAUAAGGACCGGCUAAAUCCGUGCCAGCAGCCGCGGUAAUACGGAGGGUCCGGGCGUUAUCCGGAUUUAUUGGGUUUAAAGGGUGCGUAGGCCGGCUUUUAAGUGUGCGGUGAAAGUUUGUGGCUCAACCAUGGCAUUGCCGCUGGAACUGGGGGGCUUGAGUAUGCGGAAGGCAGGCGGAAUUCGUGGUGUAGCGGUGAAAUGCUUAGAUAUCACGAAGAACCCCGAUUGCGAAGGCAGCCUGC
Molecule: ribosomal RNA, 394 nt
Filed under: uncultured bacterium
Lineage: Bacteria
Description: partial 16S ribosomal RNA
Rfam family: Bacterial small subunit ribosomal RNA
Source: RNAcentral